This 496-nucleotide ribosomal RNA is filed under the name uncultured bacterium. Its description in RNAcentral is "partial 16S ribosomal RNA". It matches the Rfam family "Bacterial small subunit ribosomal RNA", at positions 28 to 506 of the family's 1533-position model. The record is from RNAcentral.
GACGAACGCUGGCGGCGUGCCUAAUACAUGCAAGUUGAGCGCUGAAGGUUGGUACUUGUACCAACUGGAUGAGCAGCGAACGGGUGAGUAACGCGUGGGGAAUCUGCCUUUGAGCGGGGGACAACAUUUGGAAACGAAUGCUAAUACCGCAUAAAAACUUUAAACACAAGUUUUAAGUUUGAAAGAUGCAAUUGCAUCACUCAAAGAUGAUCCCGCGUUGUAUUAGCUAGUUGGUGAGGUAAAGGCUCACCAAGGCGAUGAUACAUAGCCGACCUGAGAGGGUGAUAGGCCACAUUGGGGGUGAGACACGGCCCAAACUCCUACGGGAGGCAGCAGUAGGGAAUCUUCGGCAAUGGACGAAAGUCUGACCGAGCAACGCCGCGUGAGUGAAGAAGGUUUUCGGAUCGUAAAACUCUGUUGGUAGAGAAGAACGGUGGUGGGAGUGGAAAGCUCAUCAAGUGACGGUAACGAUCCAGAAAAGGACGGCUAACUACGU